CCAGUCGGCCGGACAGCCGCUGCCGCAAGUGCCGAAAGGCCGCGGGGGAGGAAAGUCCGGGCUCCAAGGAAACACGGUGCCGGGUAACACCCGGCGAGGGCGACCUUAGGGAAAGUGCCACAGAAAGCAAACCGCCCCGGAUUUGUCCGGGGUAAGGGUGAAAGGGUGGGGUAAGAGCCCACCGCGCGCACGGCAACGGACGCGGCAUGGUAAACCCCACCGGGAGCAAAACCGAAUAGGGACAACGCGGGCCGGGAGCGAUUCCGAGCUCAGGCCGGUUUCCAGGCCAGUUGUCCGGGUAGGUUGCGUGAGGCGUCUGGCAACAGGCGUCCCAGAUGAAUGGCUGUCGCGUCUGCGGCGUCCGCCGCAGGCCAUACCGAACCCGGCUUACAGGCCGGCUGGCAUU
This 406-nucleotide RNase P RNA is filed under the name Roseibium hamelinense. RNAcentral describes it as "Bacterial RNase P class A". It matches the Rfam family "Bacterial RNase P class A". From Rfam's summary of the family: Ribonuclease P (RNase P) is a ubiquitous endoribonuclease, found in archaea, bacteria and eukarya as well as chloroplasts and mitochondria. Its best characterised activity is the generation of mature 5'-ends of tRNAs by cleaving the 5'-leader elements of precursor-tRNAs. Lineage: Bacteria; Pseudomonadati; Pseudomonadota; Alphaproteobacteria; Hyphomicrobiales; Stappiaceae. The record is from Rfam by way of RNAcentral.